AGAGUUUGAUCCUGGCUCAGAUUGAACGCUGGCGGCAGGCUUAACACAUGCAAGUCGAGCGGAAACGAUACCAGCUUGCUGGUAGGCGUCGAGCGGCGGACGGGUGAGUAAUACUUAGGAAUCUACCUAGUAGUGGGGGAUAGCUCGGGGAAACUCGAAUUAAUACCGCAUACGACCUACGGGAGAAAGGGGGCAGUUUACUGCUCUCGCUAUUAGAUGAGCCUAAGUCGGAUUAGCUAGAUGGUGGGGUAAAGGCCUACCAUGGCGACGAUCUGUAGCUGGUCUGAGAGGAUGAUCAGCCACACCGGGACUGAGACACGGCCCGGACUCCUACGGGAGGCAGCAGUGGGGAAUAUUGGACAAUGGGGGAAACCCUGAUCCAGCCAUGCCGCGUGUGUGAAGAAGGCCUUUUGGUUGUAAAGCACUUUAAGCAGUGAAGAAGACUCCUCGGUUAAUACCCGUGGACGAUGACAUUAGCUGCAGAAUAAGCACCGGCUAACUCUGUGCCAGCAGCCGCGGUAAUACAGAGAGUGCAAGCGUUAAUCGGAAUUACUGGGCGUAAAGCGAGCGUAGGUGGCUUGAUAAGUCAGAUGUGAAAUCCCCGGGCUUAACCUGGGAACUGCAUCUGAAACUGUUAGGCUAGAGUAGGUGAGAGGAAGGUAGAAUUCCAGGUGUAGCGGUGAAAUGCGUAGAGAUCUGGAGGAAUACCGAUGGCGAAGGCAGCCUUCUGGCAUUAUACUGACACUGAGGCUCGAAAGCGUGGGUAGCAAACAGGAUUAGAUACCCUGGUAGUCCACGCCGUAAACGAUGUCUACUAGUCGUUGGGUCCCUUGAGGACUUAGUGACGCAGCUAACGCAAUAAGUAGACCGCCUGGGGAGUACGGCCGCAAGGUUAAAACUCAAAUGAAUUGACGGGGGCCCGCACAAGCGGUGGAGCAUGUGGUUUAAUUCGAUGCAACGCGAAGAACCUUACCUGGUCUUGACAUAUCUAGAAUCCUGCAGAGAUGCGGGAGUGCCUUCGGGAAUUAGAAUACAGGUGCUGCAUGGCUGUCGUCAGCUCGUGUCGUGAGAUGUUGGGUUAAGUCCCGCAACGAGCGCAACCCUUGUCCUUAGUUACCAGCGGGUUAAGCCGGGAACUCUAAGGAUACUGCCAGUGACAAACUGGAGGAAGGCGGGGACGACGUCAAGUCAUCAUGGCCCUUACGACCAGGGCUACACACGUGCUACAAUGGUAGGUACAGAGGGCAGCUACACAGCGAUGUGAUGCGAAUCUCAAAAAGCCUAUCGUAGUCCAGAUUGGAGUCUGCAACUCGACUCCAUGAAGUAGGAAUCGCUAGUAAUCGCGGAUCAGAAUGCCGCGGUGAAUACGUUCCCGGGCCUUGUACACACCGCCCGC
RNAcentral lists this ribosomal RNA (1396 nucleotides) under uncultured bacterium. RNAcentral's name for it is "bacterial SSU rRNA". It matches the Rfam family "Bacterial small subunit ribosomal RNA". The record is from RNAcentral.